This 343-nucleotide small nuclear RNA is filed under the name Chinchilla lanigera (long-tailed chinchilla). RNAcentral's name for it is "7SK RNA (ENSCLAG00000021974.1)". It matches the Rfam family "7SK RNA". Rfam says of the family: 7SK was discovered as an abundant small nuclear RNA in the mid-70s but a possible function has only recently been suggested. Lineage: Eukaryota; Metazoa; Chordata; Mammalia; Rodentia; Chinchillidae. The record is from RNAcentral.
GGAUGUGAGGGUGCUCUGGCUGGGACAACUGUCAGCCCAUUGAUACAGCAGGGUUGGUUUGGCUGAUAUGGCUGGCUGGGCGGGUGUCCCCUUCCUCCAUCACCACUCCAUGUGCGUCCUCUCAAAGCUGCAUGCUGGGUCAGAGAGGAGAACCACUCCCAAGAGAGGAGGACCAUUCCCGGUCAAGGGUAUACAAAUAGCUGUGCUCCUCUGCUAUGACCUCCCAACAGGCUCCCAAAUCAACCAUCCAUCAAUAUGUCCAAAUAUUUCCACCAAAGAGUUUGCAGUGAAUUUACCUUUCCUUUUGUUCAAAUUGCUUAUACUGAAUCAAUGAAAGCCAAUU